This 823-nucleotide long non-coding RNA is filed under the name Spirodela polyrhiza (greater duckweed). RNAcentral's name for it is "long non-coding RNA (SPOL_LNC000500)". The record is from RNAcentral. Lineage: Eukaryota; Viridiplantae; Streptophyta; Magnoliopsida; Alismatales; Araceae.
GUGACGGUGAUCAACCGGACCAAGGAGACGCUGCAGAACCUGUGCCUGGAGCUGGCCACCAUGGGGGACCUCAAGCUGGUGGAGCGGCCGCAGAACUACAUCCUGGCCCCCGAGUCGAGCCGGCAGAUCCGCGCCAACAUCAAGGUCUCCUCCACCGAGACCGGCGUCAUCUUCGGCAACAUCGUCUACGAGACCUCCAACGUGCUCGAGCGCAACGUCGUCGUCCUCAACGACAUCCACAUCGACAUCAUGGACUACAUCUCCCCCGCCACCUGCGCCGACGUCGCCUUCCGCAACAUGUGGGCCGAGUUCGAGUGGGAGAACAAGGUCACCUCGCUCUCUCCCUCAUUCUCUCUAUCUUAUUUCUCUCUCCCUUAUUCUCUCUCUUCAUCUUUCAUCUACUUGGUGUCGUCUGGUGGAUGGGUCUCAGGUGGCGGUGAACACGACCAUCCAAGACGAGAAGCAGUUCCUGGAGCACAUCAUCAAAUCGACCAACAUGAAGUGCCUGACCCCGCCGUAAUCUCCCUCUCUCUGUCUCUAUCUCUCUGUUUCUCUCUCUCUCGCUAGCCCUUUGAUCCGAUGAUGAUGAUGAUGAUGAUGAUGGUGAUGGUGAUGCUCUUCUUGGUGGUUGGAUGUGUGGCCUGCGCAGGUCGGCGCUGGACGGGGAGUGCGGGUACCUGGCGGCGAACCUGUACGCGAAGAGCGUCUUCGGGGAGGACGCGCUGGUGAACGUGAGCAUCGAGCGGCAGGGCGACGGGAAGCUGAGCGGGUACAUCAGAAUAAGGAGCAAGACGCAGGGGAUCGCCCUCAGCCUCGGCGACAA